Molecule: ribosomal RNA, 379 nt
Filed under: uncultured bacterium
Lineage: Bacteria
Description: bacterial SSU rRNA
Rfam family: Bacterial small subunit ribosomal RNA
Source: RNAcentral
AUUGAACGCUGGCGGCAUGCCUUACACAUGCAAGUCGAACGGCAGCGGACCUUCGGGUGCCGGCGAGUGGCGAACGGGUGAGUAAUAUAUCGGAACGUACCUUUCAGUGGGGGAUAACGUAGCGAAAGUUACGCUAAUACCGCAUAUUCUGUGAGCAGGAAAGCAGGGGGAUCGCAAGACCUUGCGCUGAUUGAGCGGCCGAUAUCAGAUUAGCUAGUUGGUGAGGUAAAGGCUCACCAAGGCGACGAUCUGUAGCGGGUCUGAGAGGAUGAUCCGCCACACUGGAACUGAGACACGGUCCAGACUCCUACGGGAGGCAGCAGUGGGGAAUUUUGGACAAUGGGCGCAAGCCUGAUCCAGCCAUGCCGCGUGAGUGAAG